This 9396-nucleotide long non-coding RNA is filed under the name Homo sapiens (human). Its description in RNAcentral is "HSALNT0219933". Lineage: Eukaryota; Metazoa; Chordata; Mammalia; Primates; Hominidae. The record is from RNAcentral.
CUGCAACCUUGCUUUUAGCAGCAUGAAGAAGGGGAAGAGAGGAGGCUGUUGUAGGAUGAGCUCCCAGACUUCAUUGAAGCUUUUCCAUGCCCACAGGCUAUGAAUAUUUUUGAAACAUUUUUCUCAUGGCUUGUUUCUAUCUGCCUCCCCCAAAGUCUACAAUAGCUUUUAGUUCUGAUUCAUUGCAAUGUGAUGUAUUCAUUGCAAUGUGAAUAUAUAUAUAUGUACUCACUACAUUUUCCAGUGGAACAAGAGAAGAUGGCAGUAUAGGAAGAGGAAUAGCACGAGUGAAGGACUGGAAGAGGGACAGAUCCCUGCGUGUUUGCACAAUGGACAGUGUAAGGGUAUGGUGAAAGUGCAGGUGAGCAGCAUGGAGUGACUCAUUUCUCUAGAAGAAACCUGGGCCUUGCAUGAAAGGGGCCUUGUAUGAAACGUGGCAGGGUUGUGAAGAGGAGAGAAAUGUGUGGUAUGCAAACCAGGAGGCCAAAGAAGUGCCAAAGAAUGGCAAGGAGGGCCAUUGGUGUGGACCGCAUCUCACAUCAUUUGAAUCAGUAAAGAAAUCCUUAUUGGGUAGCAACAAGAGGAAGAAAGAAUGAGGCACACGUGAUAGCGCUGUCAUGGACACCAUGGGUGCAAAAGUGUGUAAGCUUGAUCCGUUACCACAUAAGAUCGCAAAUGGGAACAGUCUCACCGGCUGCUUGAGGACAUGCAAGAGUGGAAGUGGGAAGAGAAAGGAAAGUCCUCCAUGUCAGGAAGUCUUGGAAACAGUCCUUUAUGCCACUUAGAUGAGGAUACUGAGACUCAAAGUGGUGAAGAGACUUAUCCAAUGUCAUAAGCUGGGAGCUAGGGUAUGACCCAAGCAGAACCUGUACACUGGAGCCCAGGAUUACUGACAAAGGACACACCUUCUCUAGCCCCUCCUGGUGGACUUCCUCAGCUACGAAGUGCUAUUAUCAUCUCCUAGAGCUGUGGUGAGAAUUAACUAAAAUAACAUGGAUGAAGCUCUUGCGCGGCACCUGGCACAUGCCCAACCUGACUGCUGUGUUCUGCCCUGAGUCUGCAGAGGCUGACCCUGGCCAGGAAAGUGGUUGGAAAAGCAUUUUUGCAGAGAGGCAGCCUGAAGGUGGUGGCUCUAUCGGGGCAAAGAACUGUAAGCAGAGACAAAAUGAAAGCCCUCUAGGCCCACAAUUGAUUCUAACGGCUGUGAGGGAAUGAGCUUCAACUACUGUUGAUGGGAGGGACUGUGUGCCAGGCACUGUGCUAGGGACUCUCAUGCAUGAUCUCAUUCAUCUUCUGCAUAACCCAAUGAGGUAUGAUCUACUAUCAAGUGUCUACAUUUGUAUUGGAUUGACUUAACAUCUCUGGAAAGCCAGAAAUCAGAGAUACAGAGAAGUAUUGAAAUGCUGAAAUGCUAUGAAUUUACUAUAAGAGAACAUUCUUCACUGAAGAGAUCUCUAGCUGCCAAAACACCCUUUCAUGCGUGAAAUACCGGGGCAAAGAGGAAGGAAAAGAGAAGAGUAUGACUCUAGGAACCAUGUUGCAGAAAUGCCAAAGGGUGGGACAAACAAGUAUGGGCUGUAAUGACUUUGGAAGAUCCAAAUAGCUAUCAUCUUGGCUGGAGAGAGGGUGACUUCCAAGCAAGGGCCUGUGCUCUGGCCUCACUCUCUGCGGCUCUGCAACAUGAGCCUCAGCAUCCCCUGUGCUACUCACUAGAAAGUGGACCUGACAGCUUUGGCAGAGUUACUAAUGUGGAGAAAGAAGAUUAUCAUGUGUGGAACGAAGGACAAUAUGAACAUUAAAUAAUGCCCUGACUCAUUCCAAAAAGAAUCUGAGAUGACCAAUAAAGCCAUUUUUAAUUGUUUAUUAGUGAACAAUAGAUUAUGAGUGCUAAAGGGAUUCAGGAAGAAGAAAGAUCAGUGCAGAGUAGAGAAGUCUGAUGGAUGCAUUGAAGAAGCUAUGCUUGAGCUGAAAUGACAAGAGAGCUGUUUUUCGCUUUCAGAAUUAUUAUGUGGCAAUGGUAAUUGACAACAGAGAAGCUGAAGGGAGGAAGUCACUUUAUGGGAGCAGAGUCACUCUCAAGUAAUAGCUGGCCAUACAGAUUGCUCUGGACCAAGGGUGAAUGUGAAGAAGAAAAGACCGGCCAGCAACACAAUGGAAUAUCUAGAGUCAUAUUGAGGGAAAUACUUAGAUUGCUGAUUUCUUAGUGGAUUUCACAAGCAGAGCUGCUUGUGAGCAGAAUGGUGAAGUAGGGGCAUGUGUUUCUGGGGUCUUAUUCCAUGGCUUCCUUCCACCUACAAGAGUCAUCCUCACGGAGUACUUGCAUUUCAGUAGAAGAAAAAAAUCUUAUAGAUGGAAGGGAAGGAUGGGGUUCCUGCUUUAGGAAGAUUGGCAUGGUCAUAAGUCUGAGCAAGGAAGGGCCCAGGGCAGCUCAGAGCUCUGAGCAGGAAGCUCUAAUUAGUUACUGAAUAUGGUGCAAGCACAAAGAGAGCGUAGUGUUUUCCCUUUCCAUCUGUGGAAGUCUUGGCCAUGCUUACUUGGGCGUUCCUUCCAGGAAACAUUUAUUUUUCCUCUUUAAUGCCCUCCUCAUAUCUAUGCUCUCAGUAGAGGAUGCCACUGCUUCUGGCACCUGGAUAAUAGAAUGAAGCUGAUUGGGAUGGAAACAGAAAAGUCAUCUCUCAGAACAAUGAGCAGAGACUGAAACUCCCUUGUACCCAGUCCCUGUGCACUGCUGUUCAUAGCCAAAUGGGCAAGGCCUUGCCAAAUGUCAUGUUGAGGUGAGGCCCUAAGUGAUAGAAAAAUAAAAAAUGACUAUGGCCACUUGCAUGUUCAGAGAAUUCAGUUUAGAAAAUGCUAUGCUGGGAGGAUCUCUCUUAAUAUCUUGUUUGCAUCAGAAUGUUCAAGUUGCAAUAUAUGUUUUUGUUUUGUGUAUUUAUUUAUUUUCCUCUACUCUAUUCUGUUAAGUCUUUUAGGGCAAAGGUAGGGUAGUCUAUACUCCCUGCGUUAUCCAUAAUGCCUAGCACUGUGUCUUGUACAUAAAAGGUCAUAAUAAAUACCUGUUGGCUAGAUAGAUGAAUGGAUAGAGUGCCUCAUUUAGAAGCAUUAUACUUCUAUGGAAAAAAAUUUUUAAAUGUAUUUUUUUCUAUGAGAUAACACAGUUCCUGAAUAGGUCAUGGGCAGGUGCUAUUCAAGUUUGCGAAGGAAAGGUUUUCCUAGAGUUAGGGUAAUUUUUUCCUCAAAUAAGAAAAACCUACAGUAAAUAAUUACUCUCCAUAUUAUCUUUAGGUUUCUUGCCAGUAUUAACAUCUUUUUUAUUGUAAGUGAUGAUAUUGUCUGUGAGAACAUUACAGUAGGUUAGUAUCCUGGGUUAAGCUAAGUGUUGUUGAAAAUAAUCCUGGACAUCCAAACAGGAAGAGAGGAAGUCAAACUAUUCCUGUUUGCAAAUAACAUGAUUCUAUAUCUAGAAAACCCUGUAAUGUCAGCCCCAAGGCUCUGUGAGAUCAGAGAUAAAUAACCUCAGCAAAGUCAACAUACAAACAUCAGUAGCAUUCCUUAUACAAACAACAUCCAAGCUGAUGGCCAAAUCAGGAUGCAAUCCCAUUCACAAUUGCCCCCCCAAAAAUAUAAAAUACUUAGGAAUACAGCUAACCAGGGAUGUGAAAGAUCUCUAUAAUAAGAAUUACAAAACACUGCUCAAAAAAUCAUAGAUGACACCAAAAAUUGGAAAAAUAAUCCAUGCUCAUGGAUUGGAUGAAUCAAUAUCAUUAAAAUGGCCAUACUGCCCAAAGCAAUUUACAGAUUUCACAGAUUCAGUGCUAUUCCUAUCAAAAUAUCAAUGACAUUUUUCGUGGAAUUAGAAAAAACUAUUUUAAAAUUGACAUGGAACCCAAAAGGGACCCCGAAUAGUCGAGGCAAUCCUAAACAAAAAGAACAAAGCUGGAGGUAUUAUAUUACCCAAUGUCAACAUAUACUACAGGGCUAUAGUAACCAAAAGAGCAUGGUACUGGUACAAAAACAGACACAUAGACCAAUAGAACGUAAUAAAGAGCCCAGAAAUAAUGUCACACCACUUACAACCAUCUGAUCUUCAAUAAAGCUGACAAAAACAAACAAUAGGGAAAAGAUUCCUCAUUCAAUAAAUGGUGCUGGGAUAACUGGCUAGUCAUAUGCAGAAGAUUGAAACUGGACACCCCACCUUACACUACAUACAAAAAUCAGUGUAAGAUGAAUUAAAGGCUUAAAUGUAAAACCUAAAACUAUAAAAACCCUGAAAGAUAACCUAGGAAAUACCAUUCUGGACAUAGAACUUGGCAAAGAUUUCAUGAUGAAGACAACAAAAGCAAUUGCAACAAAAACAAAAAUUGACAAAUGGGAUCUAAUUAAACUGAAGAGCUUCUGAACAAAAAAAGAAACUAUCAACAGAGUAAACAGACAACCUACAGAAUGGGAGAAGAUAUCUGCAAACUAUGCAUCCAACAAAGGUCUAAUAUCCAGAUGCUGUAAGGAACUUAAAUUUAUAAGCAUAAACAAACAACCCCAUUAAAAAGUGGGCAAAGGACAUGAAGAGAUACUUUUCAAAAGAAGACAUAUAUGUGGCCAACAAGCAUAUAAAAAAUGCUCAACAUCACUAAUCAUUAGAGAAAUGCAAAUUAAAACCACAGUGAAAUACCAUCCCACACCAGUCAGAAUGGCUAUUAUUAAAAGUUGAAAAAUAAUAGGUGCUAGCAAUGUUGUGGAGAAAAGGGAACACUUAUACACCACUGAUGGGAAUGUAAAUUAGUUCAGCCACUGUAGAAAGCAGUUGGGUGAUUCCUCAAAGAACUUAAAAAAACAGAGUUACCAUCCAACCUAGCAACCCCAUUAUUGGGUAUAAUCCAAAGGAAUAUAAAUUGUUCUAUCAUAAAGACACAUGCACAUGUAUAUUCAUUGCAGCACUAUUCGCAAUAAGAAAGAUAUGGCAUCACCCUAAAUGCCCAUCAGUGGUAGACUGGAUAAAGAAAAUGUGGUGCAUAUACACCAUGGAAUACUAUGCAGCCAUAAAAAACAAUGAGAUCAUGUCCUGUGAAGCAACAUGGAUGGAUCUGGAAGCCAUUAUCCUAAGCAAACUAACACAAGAACAGAAAACCAAAUAUGGCAUGUUCUUACAAGUGGAAGCUAAACAAUAGGAACACAUGGAUAUUAGAAGGGUAACAGAAGAUAUUGGGGCCUACUUGAGGGUGGAAAGUGGGAGGAAGGAGAGGAUCGGAAAAAUACCUAUUGGGUACUAUGUUUAUUACCUGGAUGAUAAAAUUAUCUGUCACCAAACCCCUGUGACAUGCAGUUUACCUAUAUAACAAACCUGCACAUGUACCCCUGAGCCUAAAAUAAAAGUUUAAAAAAAAAAAAGAAAAUACACCUGGACCCUAUUUUGAAAGACAUACUGUAGACUUGAGGGAGGAAGAGCAGAGGGAUGGAAAGGGCCCCGAAUUACCCACAAGCCAUGUGAAUGCUUAAGCAGUCAUGGACCACAAUUCUCACCACACACACACACACACACACACACACACACACACACACACACACACAGGUCUGAACCCUUACCCCUGUCUACUACUUAUUGGAGCUUGGUAGAAAAAAAGUUGUGAGUGACAGAAAAGUGAGAAAAAGAGAAGAAGAAGAAAAAUUGGAAAGUGUGGAAGAAAAAGUGGCAAAUGCAAGCAGCCCUUAAUGGAACUGUGCUGAAUUGAGAGACAGCAGAAGGUAACAGCUGGCUGGGACUUGGCCAUGAAAGGUGGAAUGUGAGGAGACAAAUGAAAUGGAAAUGCAGGAAAGAAUGGAGUGGCAAAGGAGGCUGGAGAUGGGGCAGAGGAUAGCAAGGGGAGAGAAGGAAGCACAGAAAGGGUGUGGGGGACAGGCCAGAGAGUAGAAGGCUAGAUGGAACUGACUGAUGCCACCAGUCAGAGAUGGAGACCAUUAACAAUGUGUAGGGAAACCCCUGCCUUCCCAAUAAUGAAAAUGCAGGUUUAAUCAGUACCAAGGAACACUGUGAAGUAAGGGCAUUGACUUGGGAAGUGAAAGCCGAAGAUAGAGCAAACCCCAUACGGCAUAUCCUAACUCGCCAUUUUAACAGCAGAAAGACUCGAAAAUACAAAGCAAAGGAUUAUCCAAAGGGCUUUUUAAAAUAAUGCUUAAAAUUUUAAUCUUGUAAAUAUAUUUCCCUUCCCAGUAUGAAAAUAAUUCCGAGUAUAAUCUUUAUUUACUUUCCCCUUUUUAUUUUAGAAGAGUAAACAUAGCUUUAAGAAUUAAAAAAAUCAGUUAAUAAUCUGACUUUUAAGUCAGCUGUAAAAAUGUAAGUUUCUAGCUCUGCCACUUUUUAGUAGUGUGACUUUGGGCAAAUUGCUCAAAAACUCCAAAUUCUUGUUUCUUUACCUACAAAAAAGGGACAAUAAUACAUACCUCCUAUGAUAGUAGAAAAUUACGUGAAAAUAUACUCCAAGUAUCUCAGAGGGCUUGAUUUCCAGAAAGCGCCCAAGCUCAAUCAAUAGUGACGUUUACUAUCCACGCAGCCAGUUCUACUACUGGGAGUUGGUUGGUGCUGAUAAAGCUUUUUGUCAGACUUCUCACAAUUUCCAUUGUGAGAAGAUGUAGCUUCCAAUUAACUCUGUCACUGAUUGUUGGGUAACUUUGGGCCAAAUGCUGUUCCUUAAUGAAUGUGGGUGUGAAACUUAUUAAGAUUAAUGACUGUCACAGCUGUUAGCCAGAUGUUUACAUAAUUCCCUCUGUUUUACAGCAAUCAUAUCAGAGGAAAGGGGUUGAAUGAUAGAAUUAGAAAAAUAAGUACAAUAUUGUGGGAAUGAAUAAAUGUUGUUUUGGAGGGUAGGAGAUUAAAAUCCUAAAUGUAUUUUGAUUAGGCUAAUAUUAAAAAUUAGCAUCUGUAAAUCAGUAAUCUAAUUGAAGGAAUUUUUUAACACAAGUGACUGGUGGAGGGGACACAGCAUGGGAGGGCAUGCUUACAGCAAGAGCUCCAUUGAUUAAAUAGUCCCCUGCAGAACACAGAGAGUUAAAUACGUCUUUAAUAGCCUCCAGCAUGAAAGGGCAAAUCAUUUGUUUUAAUUGAGGAAGGAUAAAAUAUUUUUGCUUUACACAUAUAUGUUCUAUUUUAGCAUCAUAGUUAUUUUUAUAGCUGUUAUAACUUCACAAAACCUAAUAGGAAAAUAAAUCUGAAUCCAGAAGAGUUCAAUACUUUCCAGAGGAGUCUAGUAAAUAAAAACUCUACACUGACUGACUGAUCUUAUUCAUGCACUGCUCCUAAACCCAAACUCUCAAGUGAAGGGAAAAGAGGUUAAUUCGUUGGAAUAAAUUCAUGGGAUUUUUUUUUAAAGACACAUCCUGAAUCAAAGUGAUUAAAACAACAAAUGGAUAAAGGGUAGAGCUGUGAGAGGACAAGGUUUGCAUUACUGAGCAUCUUGAUUAUGUGGGGAAGAUGGGAAACAGAUCUUGCCCAUUCUGGUCUCAAACUACUAAAUCCUGAGAAUGCCAAGAGGCGAGUCACUGAAGUCAGAAGUUGGAAACAUGGCUAAGCUGUCCAGAGUGUGGAACACAUGGUCUCUGAAGGUUUUUAUUAGUGUGUGGGUGAGAGUUCAGAAGCUCUACUAAUUACUUUUGUUUUCAGAAUUUAUAAAGUUAAGACAGAAAGCGGAAUAUUAACACUUCACUUCCUCGUGCAGUCAUUAAUUUACUCACUUAGCAUACAUUUAUUCAUAGAAGCUUAUUGGUACCAAGUAUACCCUCAAUGAGCAACCAACCCAAAAUUGCAAAAGGGAGAUCAAACAGGGAAGCUGUGGUAGGAAGUAUCAUGGCCUCUUCAAAGAUGUCUAUAUACUAAUCACAGAAUUUAUGUAUAUGUGAUGCUGUAUGUCAAGGGAAGAUUAAGGUGUGCAGAUGGAAUUAAGGUUGCUAAUCAGCUGACCUUAAAAUAGGAGUACUAUCUUGGAAUAUCUGGGUGGGCUCAAUGUAAUCACAAAUGUUCUUAACAGAUAGAAGAAGAAGGCAGAGGAGUCAGUGUUGGAGUGAUGCCAUGUGAGAAAGACUCAACUGGCCAUUGCUGGCUUUGAAAAUGGAAGGAGGCAUAAGCCAAGGAAUGAAUGCAGGUGCCUCUAGAACCUGGAAAAAGCAAGGAAACAAAUUCUCCUCUAGAACCUCCAGAAGGAAUGCAUUCCUGCCAACACCUUGAUUUUUAGCUCGGUGAGACCCAUGCUGGACUUCUGACCUGCAGGAUUGCAAGAUAAGAUAUUUGACUUAUUUUAAGAUGCUAAGUUUGCAGUAAUUUGAUAUGGUAGCCAUCGGAAACUAAUACCGAUGCCAAAGCAGUAAAGCAGGAAAGCACUCCAAAAUCACAGGAGUGAGAGGAGCAGAAAUGUCCUAGGAGAAGACAAUGUUUCCUUUUGAAAAGGAAAGUUUACUGGCAACUUCCAUUUGAAUUUCUUAAUUUCUUUCCUCAGUGGCAGUCACUACUUCCAAGGUGGCAGGUUCCAGAGCUGAUUCAUUAUAUAAUCUUUUCUCAGGAGUAUUCUAGCCACCUUUAAAGAAGCUAGGGCCAUUUUCCUGACACUGCAUCAAGGGGUAAGGUUAGUGGUAAAGAAACCAUGCGGUAGGAAAGGCCAACUUUCUCCCUACAUAAUCCAAUCGCAUUAUCUCCAGACUUGCUCACCCUCUGCUCUUUGCAUACUGCAGCUCCAGAGCUUUCAUACCUACAGACUUCCUGGAGUUAAGACUAAAACAAGAGUUGUGCUACAGACUACCGUUCCUAUUAUCAUUUUUUGUGUCCUGCUGAGUCCUCCCCUCUUGGCAACUUCAGGACCACCCACUGGGAAGAUAAUAUACAACCCAUCAGGAAACUCCCAGUGCCCAUCGUGGAGGCCAAGUGCUGCCAACUCUGAUUGCUUCUGGAAUGCCAUUUCUUCCCUGCCCUUUCAAUAUUCUUGUUAUGCGACUCCUAUGAUCACUGCCAAUCUGUAGAAAAUUACAGGAUGAAUUUUUGUGAAGGACUGAAUUUGCAUACUGGUCUUUUGUUGUUUAUUGUUGGGGGGAUUUUGCUUUUUGCACACAAUUUCUGCACAUUUUAUUGGAAGUUAUUGGGUUAGAUUCAUCCCAUUCAUUCACUAGCCUGGCAUUGCUAUGCAUGUGCUGUAGGGGCUUAGCAUUAAACGAUUUUCUUUGUUCAGAUUUGGAUUGCUGUCUCUGCUUGCAAAUUAUUUUUCACAAUGACUCCUUCUUUUCCUUCUCUCUCUCUCUCUUUCUCUCUCUCUCUCUCUCACACACACACACAGACACACACACACACACACACACACACACACACACACACACACAGAUGAGGUUAGAUAUUUUUCCAUUGCCAAGUUCAGGACCCAUGAAUAC